Molecule: ribosomal RNA, 433 nt
Filed under: uncultured bacterium
Lineage: Bacteria
Description: partial 16S ribosomal RNA
Rfam family: Bacterial small subunit ribosomal RNA
Source: RNAcentral
AACGAACGCUGGCGGCAUGCCUAACACAUGCAAGUCGAACGAUCCCUUCGGGGAUAGUGGCGCACGGGUGCGUAACGCGUGGGAACCUGCCCUUAGGUUCGGAAUAACUCAGAGAAAUUUGAGCUAAUACCGGAUAAUGUCUUCGGACCAAAGAUUUAUCGCCUUUGGAUGGGCCCGCGUUGGAUUAGCUAGUUGGUGGGGUAAAGGCCUACCAAGGCGACGAUCCAUAGCUGGUCUGAGAGGAUGAUCAGCCACACUGGGACUGAGGCACGGCCCAGACUCCUACGGGAGGCAGCAGUGGGGAAUAUUGGACAAUGGGCGAAAGCCUGAUCCAGCAAUGCCGCGUGAGUGAUGAAGGCCUUAGGGUUGCAAAGCUCUUUUACCCGGGAUGAUAAUGACAGUACCGGGAGAAUAAGCCCCGGCUAACUCCGUG